UACGGAGGGUGCAAGCGUUGCUCGGAAUUACUGGGCGUAAAGCGAGCGCAGGCGGUCUGAUAAGUCGGUUGUGAAAGCCCCGGGCUCAACCCGGGAACUGCGAUCGAAACUGCCAGACUUGAGUACGGGAGAGGGAAGUGGAAUUCCUGGUGUAGAGGUGAUAUUCGUUGAUAUCAGGAGGAACACCGGCGGCGAAGGCGACUUCCUGGCCCGAUACUGACGCUCAUGCUCGAAAGCGUGGGGAGCAAACAGG
Molecule: ribosomal RNA, 253 nt
Filed under: uncultured bacterium
Lineage: Bacteria
Description: partial 16S ribosomal RNA
Rfam family: Bacterial small subunit ribosomal RNA
Source: RNAcentral